RNAcentral lists this ribosomal RNA (468 nucleotides) under uncultured bacterium. RNAcentral's name for it is "partial 16S ribosomal RNA". It matches the Rfam family "Bacterial small subunit ribosomal RNA", at positions 28 to 507 of the family's 1533-position model. The record is from RNAcentral.
GACGAACGCUGGCGGCGUGCUUAACACAUGCAAGUCGAACGGAAAGGCCCUGCUUUUGUUGGUUGCUCGAUUGCCGAACGGGUGAGUAACACGUGAGUAACCUGCCCUUGACUUUGGGAUAACUUCAGGAAACUGCGGCUCAUACCGGAUAUGAGCUCCUGCUGCAUGGUGGUGGUUGGUAAGUUUCGGCGGUUGGGGAUGGACUCGCUGCUUAUCAGCUUGUUGGUGGGGUAGUGGCUUACCAAGGCUUUGACGGGUAGCCGGCCUGAGAGGGUGACCGGCCACAUUGGGACUGAGAGACGGACCAGACUCCUACGGGAGGCAGCAGGGGGGAAUAUUGCAGAAUGGGCGGAAGCGUGAGACAGAAACGCCGCGAGCGGGAUGACGGCCUUCGGGGUGUAAACCGAUUUCGCCUGUGACGAAGAGGGAGUGACGGUAAUGGGUAAAGAAGCAACGGCUAACUACGUG